This 438-nucleotide ribosomal RNA is filed under the name uncultured bacterium. RNAcentral describes it as "partial 16S ribosomal RNA". It matches the Rfam family "Bacterial small subunit ribosomal RNA", at positions 338 to 795 of the family's 1533-position model. The record is from RNAcentral.
CCUACGGGAGACUGCAGUGGGGAAUAUUGCACAAUGGGGGAAACCCUGAUGCAGCGACGCCGCGUGAGCGAAGAAGUAUUUCGGUAUGUAAAGCUCUAUCAGCAGGGAAGAAAAUGACGGUACCUGAGUAAGAAGCUCCGGCUAACUACGUGCCAGCAGCCGCGGUAAUACGUAUGGAGCAAGCGUUAUCCGGAUUUACUGGGUGUAAAGGGAGCGCAGGCGGCCUUGCAAGUCUGAUGUGAAAUCCCGCGGCUCAACCGCGGAACUGCAUUUGAAACUGUUUUUCUUGAGUACCGGAGAGGUCAUCGGAAUUCCUUGUGUAGCGGUGAAAUGCGUAGAUAUAAGGAAGAACACCAGUGGCGAAGGCGGAUGACUGGACGGCAACUGACGGUGAGGCGCGAAAGCGUGGGGAGCAAACAGGAUUAGAUACCCGGGGUC